GUCUUGAAUAGAACAACUUUCCAAGGCAGAAAGUGAUGAGCAGUUACAUGAAAGGAUUGAAUGGAGAAAUACUGAUGAUGCCACAAGGGACACAGACAGUGAAGACAGCACUUCAGAUGAUGAUUAUGUACCAUCCAUCUGUCUCAGAACUGGAAGAGUCAAAACGGACUUUGUGAAGAUUCAGGAGCUUCCAGUUCUUGGCCUUGAAGAGACCGUUCAUAUUGCAACGCAAAAUGAAGUAGUACCAGUACGAGAAGAUCAUGUAUCCAUGUCUUCUGGCAUCCAACAUGUCUUGUGUGAAGAGGACAUCGUUGGACAAAAGGCAUCAAUCGUCUAUGAGUCAAUGCUGAAACACCUGGUCACAUUUUUGCAGCUGCCGAUGGUGAGGUGUAAUUUCAUUGAGACAGUUACAAAAGAGUCAUGCCAGGCUUCCGGACCUUUUGAAGUCCAGCUUUCUUCAAGAGGAACUGGUACUGUCAUACGCUGGGUAAAUAUAUGUACAUGCAUUU
This 509-nucleotide long non-coding RNA is filed under the name Carassius auratus (goldfish). RNAcentral's name for it is "lncRNA (ENSCARG00000034117.1)". Lineage: Eukaryota; Metazoa; Chordata; Actinopteri; Cypriniformes; Cyprinidae. The record is from RNAcentral.